Molecule: ribosomal RNA, 465 nt
Filed under: uncultured Klebsiella sp.
Lineage: Bacteria; Pseudomonadati; Pseudomonadota; Gammaproteobacteria; Enterobacterales; Enterobacteriaceae
Description: bacterial SSU rRNA
Rfam family: Bacterial small subunit ribosomal RNA
Source: RNAcentral
CCUACGGGGGGCAGCAGUGGGGAAUAUUGCACAAUGGGCGCAAGCCUGAUGCAGCCAUGCCGCGUGUGUGAAGAAGGCCUUCGGGUUGUAAAGCACUUUCAGCGGGGAGGAAGGCGUUAAGGUUAAUAACCUUGUCGAUUGACGUUACCCGCAGAAGAAGCACCGGCUAACUCCGUGCCAGCAGCCGCGGUAAUACGGAGGGUGCAAGCGUUAAUCGGAAUUACUGGGCGUAAAGCGCACGCAGGCGGUCUGUCAAGUCGGAGGUGAAAGCCCCGGGCUCAACCGGGGAACUGCAUUCGAAACUGGCAGGCUAGAGUCUUGGAGAGGGGGGUAGAAUUCCAGGUGUAGCGGUGAAAUGCGUAGAGAGCUGGAGGAAUACCGGGGGCGAAGGCGGCCCCCUGGACAAAGACUGACGCUCAGGUGCGAAAGCGUGGGGAGCAAACAGGAUUAGAUACCCGGGUAGUC